This 497-nucleotide ribosomal RNA is filed under the name uncultured bacterium. RNAcentral's name for it is "partial 16S ribosomal RNA". It matches the Rfam family "Bacterial small subunit ribosomal RNA", at positions 28 to 507 of the family's 1533-position model. The record is from RNAcentral.
GAUGAACGCUGGCGGCGUGCCUAAUACAUGCAAGUAGAACGCUCAAGCUUGGUGCUUGCACCGAGCGGAUGAGUUGCGAACGGGUGAGUAACGCGUAGGUAACCUGCCUCUUAGCGGGGGAUAACUAUUGGAAACGAUAGCUAAUACCGCAUAAUAUUCGGCAUCGCGUGAUAUUGUUGUGAAAUGUGCAAAUUCAUCACUAAGAGAUGGACCUGCGUUGUCUUAGGUAGGUGGUGAGGUAACGGCGCACGAACGCGUGGUUACGGAGACGCACUGAGAGGGUGGGCAGCCGGCCUGAGACGGAGACACGGCCCAGAGCGCUUGAGGUGGGAGCAGGAGGGAAACUGGAGGAAUGGGGGCAAACGUGAACGAGCAGCGCCGCGUGAGUGAAGAAGGAUUUCGGGUCGUGAAACUCUGUUGUAGGGGAGGAACGAGUGUGGGAGUGGAAAGUUCAGAGAGUGACGGUAACUGAUCAGAAAGGAACGGCUAACUACGUG